UUUUACUUUAAUCAAAUACAUAAUUAUUAAAAAUUUUAAAUGUUUAUAAAUCCAAAUUAGCUUAAAAGCACUAACACCCUCCCUCUGACUUGUGUUCACUGCGACUACCAUCAUAGGAUACAUCUAAUGUUUAAAUGAUAAUCCAACAUUUGAUCAUUGCCUGUUACUGCAGUAUUGCUCUCAAUUUAUAUCACAUCCAAAUCCAAUUGCCUGGAUGUAGCACAUACAAUUGAACAUAUGAGAAACGACUCUAAUACCGUUGAGAUAAAGUUCAUUGGUGCUUCUUCUUGUGCAUCACCAUUGAGGCAACUGUACAUCUUCUAACAAAGAGGCCUUUGAGACUCUGGAAGGUUUCCAACAUAUGUGUCAUGUACCAUUUUUACAUAGUCAUCAAUUUUAUCAGCCGUCCAAUCAUCAGUUUUUAUGGGACGGAGAAACUUGACUGUUAUAGGCACUGGCCGAACAUGCAAGCUGCCUUUCCUCCAUGCUAGGUGGGUACCUGUCAGGACCAUGGGAACUAUUGGAAGGCGUGUUUGCAAUGCCAAAUGAACAAAACCCUGCAAGGGAAAACACAAAUGAAGAAAAGGGUAAAAUUGCUGAACUGUCAAGUACAAGCAAAAAGAAAGAAAAAAGUCAUCGGGAAGGGAAAUCUACACAUCUGCAUCUCUAGCUUAGGGUGCACAACAGCACAAGGUUUUGAAGAACUACAUCUGAUUGAGGAAGACCACAAAAUGUAAAAGAAUUCCAUACUUAUGGCAAAGUAUCCCAUCCACUUCAUAACUCAGAAAAAUUAAGAUGAUCAUUGGUAAAAGGAAUUUAAAAACAUUUCACAGAAGAUGUCUAGAUCACAUCAUCAUGAAAUGGAACUCGAGGCAUACCACUGGGCAAAAAAUGAAUUCUAACUCAUGAAUGUUUUCUCACAUGUGUUUGAAACACAAAUCAGAUUGAUCUAGUUGUGUGAUAAGUAAAAGUCAUCACUAAAGCAUUCAGUGAGUGAGCAAUAAGAGCUCUCAUAACAAAUUGCUUUGGACAAAAUACUUCUGCAAUUCUACUAUCAUUCUAUAGCAUGAAUGUAUGAUGAUUGUGAGAAUAACAUUUUUUUCAGACAAGGAACUAACAUUUACCUUUUUAAACGAAAGCAAUCGUCCAUUUUUGGACCUGGUGCCUUCAGGAAAAAUGAUUAGCGAUAGGUUGUUUCUGACAACUGCACAAGCUGCCUCUUUCAUUGAUUGAAUUGCAGCAGUUGGGUUAGACCGAUCUAUCCGAAGAUGAUUGGCCAAUACAUAAAGUUGUCCAAAUAGAGGGUACCAGAUUAUCUAAAAAAACAAAAAUUUCAGUCAUCAGUGAAUUUGAAGCUUCUCAAUUAUCUCCUCAAAUGUACUUGAAUUUGCAACAAAUCUAGUCCGGACAGUGCAUUUCUAUUUCCUCAGCUAGAAACCAAGCCAGUUGAUUUCUAGCACACAAAUUGAUAUGGAGUAAAAGAGCUUAUCAAUCUUGAAGUGCCAUCAUUUAUAUUUUGAGGACAUACAGAUCAAUAUUAAACAAGAUAGCCAUCAAAAUAAUAGAAAAAGAACCUCCUUCUUUGCAAUGCCAACUGUGCCUGUGGGGGUCAACCACAUCAUAAGGAAAAUGUCUAUAGGAGAAGCAUGAUUACUGAUAUAAAUCGCCUUCUCAUUUGAGAAUUCGACACCUUCAAUCUUUACAGAAUUCCCUAAGAUCCACAUCUGCAAUCAAAAUUCUGCAUAUCAUUUAAAACAAAUUAAAAGAAAUGCAGGAUGCUAUUUUUAUCUUAUGAUGUUAAUUUUGAGAAACAUAUAACAUCAUAAGAUAAAAAUUUUCCUUCUGUUUUUCUCUAAUCAAUUUUCUCAGCAACCAAGGAAGGAAAGAAAUGAUUGAAAAAGGGAGGAAAUUAAAAAGUUUAGCAAUCUUCUUCUUUCACACUGCUUUAUUUGAAACUUAACCAUUCAUACUAUAAAAGAGAUGCAACUAAUAUGACAAUGUGAUCAAUACCUACUUCCCAAGUAAGCUUGAAAUGAAUCAUAAAUAAAGUUGAAGCAACUCACCAGCAUUCUACCAGUUACAUGUCCAUAAAUGUUUCCCUGCCUAAUCCUCUCAUAUGGCCAUGGCAAGAGCAAGAGCAUGAUUAAAGCCCAUAUAAAUGUUGUAACCAUCAUUGACACAAAACAAACCACAAUCCUUAUAUAAGAUGUCAAUGCAGAAAUCCACCCAUCAUCAACAUAAACAUCAAUCUUAGGCCUUUUUUCCUCUUCUUCACUUUCCCAAAAUUUUAGCAUUUCUUUCACAUUUGGGCUGCAAUUUGUGUUGAGGAAACUCUCCAAAUUCCUAUUCCUCAUAAAAGAACCACCUCCAGUGUUCUCCAUUAGCUAUAAUUGCAACUGAGAUUACCCUGUACAAGAGAAGAGCAAAAGAAAUUGUAAGAUAACUCAGCGAAGCCUUAGUCCCAAACUAGUUAGGAUCAGCUAAGGAUGUAAGAUAACUCAAGUGAAUAAAUUAUAAUCAUGUGUUUAGUUGCUUAAAAACUGCAGGAAAUUGAACUAACUGUAUGAUUAGUUGUCCAAAAGAACUUCAGGUUCUGGGGUUUAAAUUUCAUUUUAUUUUGUACUCUUUGAUUUUUAAGUAGGAUAAAGUUAAAUCUAUUCCCAGCCAAACAAUAUGAGCUCCACUAGAAAAAAACAUAAACAAGGAAAAAAGAAAUUACCUGACCAAAAUUACUAAUCUCCUAACUCUCCUGAAAGCCUUAUCAAACCAUAAACUUUUUGUUUGGUUGCCUAGAAAUAGAAAAUCAAAGAAAACAACAUAAUCCUCCCCUCUUAAAGAAGAGCAAAGAGAAGAAGAAAACUGCGACCUGAACUUCUCCUUCACUCUCGAACAAAACAGACAAACAUUCUACGGCUUACAGCUUAGUUGGAUAUAGCUAUAUGAGACCCCUUUUUUCUCCUUCUUGUGCUUUGCCUGGCAAGUGGGAACCAAACAGACACAGAACAACAAUUUUCACAAAAACCCAGAAAACGUCACUUACCAAAUGUAUUGUUUUCUCGAAAAAGAAUGGGAAAUAAGUAGCAGAAUCUGAUAGUAAAGUUCAAGAAGAUAGGCUAGGCUAGGAUAGGAUGAGACAUGAUAGGAUAUAUCAAGAGAAAUAAAGAAACAUAGAGAAGUCUUGGCAGUCUUCUCUUAAAAAAGAACAAGCAAGAGAAGUCACACAAGGCAAAGAAAGACGAAGACAGAAAAUGCGACGCUAUAGCAUUGAGAGACGGAAAGAUGGAUUACGAGUCUCACACACGGUAUAUACCUGGAUUCUUCCUCUUGCAAUGGCCUAUAGCCAAUAUUAGAAAAAUAUUUUCCACCAUUUUCUUUUAUGUAUGUUUUAACCAGACAAUUCUUUCUCUUCUUUUAUUUUAUUUUUAACAAGUUAUAAAAAUUUAUCAAGAAUGCUUUCUUGGCACACACAAUGGAGCAUAGAUAUCAUUUCAGAUCUUUCUGUUUAAUUUCACCAACCCAGUUAAUGAAAUCAUCAAAGCAAACAACUACAACUUCCUAAAACAAAUCACAA
RNAcentral lists this unclassified non-coding RNA (3571 nucleotides) under Hevea brasiliensis (rubber tree). The record is from RNAcentral. Lineage: Eukaryota; Viridiplantae; Streptophyta; Magnoliopsida; Malpighiales; Euphorbiaceae.